ACCCUACGGGGGGCAGCAGUGGGGGAUAUUGCACAAUGGGGGAAACCCUGAUGCAGCGACACCGCGUGGGUGAGGAAGCGCUUCGGCGUGUAAAGCCCUAUCAGUGGGGAAGAAAAAGGACGGUACCCAAAGAAGAAGCACCGGCUAAAUACGUGCCAGCAGCCGCGGUAAUACGUAUGGUGCAAGCGUUAUCCGGAAUGACUGGGUGUAAAGGGAGCGUAGACGGUUGUACAAGUCUGAUGUGAAAGCCCACGGCUCGACUGAGAGAGUGCAUUGGCAACGGUACAACU
RNAcentral lists this ribosomal RNA (290 nucleotides) under uncultured bacterium. RNAcentral's name for it is "partial 16S ribosomal RNA". It matches the Rfam family "Bacterial small subunit ribosomal RNA", at positions 335 to 642 of the family's 1533-position model. The record is from RNAcentral.